GCGCCCAUAGUUUAACGGUAAAACUGCGAUCUUAUACAUCGCUGUCCGGGGUUCGACUCCCUGUGGGCGCA
RNAcentral lists this transfer RNA (71 nucleotides) under bacterium. RNAcentral's name for it is "tRNA-Ile". It matches the Rfam family "tRNA". Rfam says of the family: Transfer RNA (tRNA) molecules are approximately 80 nucleotides in length. Their secondary structure includes four short double-helical elements and three loops (D, anti-codon, and T loops). Further hydrogen bonds mediate the characteristic L-shaped molecular structure. tRNAs have two regions of fundamental functional importance: the anti-codon, which is responsible for specific mRNA codon recognition, and the 3' end, to which the tRNAs corresponding amino acid is attached (by aminoacyl-tRNA synthetases). tRNAs cope with the degeneracy of the genetic code in two manners: having more than one tRNA (with a specific anti-codon) for a particular amino acid; and 'wobble' base-pairing, i.e. permitting non-standard base-pairing at the 3rd anti-codon position. The record is from RNAcentral.